Molecule: ribosomal RNA, 253 nt
Filed under: uncultured bacterium
Lineage: Bacteria
Description: partial 16S ribosomal RNA
Rfam family: Bacterial small subunit ribosomal RNA
Source: RNAcentral
GACGAAGGGGGCUAGCGUUGUUCGGAAUUACUGGGCGUAAAGCGAGUGUAGGUGGUUGUCCAAGUUGGAUGUGAAAGCCUUGAGCUCAACUCAAGAAAUGCAUUCAGGACUGGGCGGCUAGAGGACAGGAGAGGAUAGUGGAAUUCCCAGUGUAGUGGUGAAAUACGUAGAGAUUGGGAAGAACACCAGUGGCGAAGGCGGCUAUCUGGACGGUUUCUGACACUAAGACUCGAAAGCGUGGGGAGCAAACAGG